Populus trichocarpa (black cottonwood) is the source of this 129-nucleotide non-coding RNA. Lineage: Eukaryota; Viridiplantae; Streptophyta; Magnoliopsida; Malpighiales; Salicaceae. The record is from Rfam.
UAAUCUAUCUAGGGUAAAUCUUCAUCUAGUUAUGACAAACUUACACCUAACUUCUCAGAAUCAUUUGUUGUCGCAAGCUCAACUAUAUUAGAUACGGUAAGGGUGAUGUUAUUCUUUCCUCAAUCAUAA